CAACUUGAGAGUUUGAUCCUGGCUCAGAACGAACGCUGGCGGCAGGCUUAACACAUGCAAGUCGAACGCUGUAGCAAUACGAGUGGCNGACGGGUGAGUAACGCGUGGGAACGUACUUUCGGUUCGGAAUAACUCAGGGAAACUNNAGCUAAUACCGGAUACGCCUAUCGGGGGAAAGAUUUAUUCGCGAAAGAUCGGCCCGCGUCCGAUUAGCUAGUUGGUGAGGUAAUGGCUCACCAAGGCGACGAUCGGNAGCUGGUCUGAGAGGAUGAUCAGCCACACUGGGACUGAGACACGGCCCAUGCUCGUGCGGGAGGCAGCAGUGGGGAAUAUUGGACGAUGGGCGCAAGCCUNAUCCAGCCAUGCCGCGUGAGUGAUGAAGGCCUUAGGGUUGUAAAGCUCUUUCGCGAGGGACGAUAAUGACGGUACCUGGAUAAGAACCCCGGCUNACUUCGUGCCAGCUGCCGCGGUAAUACGAAGGGGGCAAGCAUAGUUCGGAAUCGCUGGGCGUAAAGCGCACGUAGGCGNAUCUUUAAGUCAGGGGUGAAAUCCGAGGCUCAACCUCGGNACUGCCUUUGAUACUGGGUGUYUAGAGUUGAGUAUGCUAGAUCUGAGNNGAUCNAGGACUGUAGUGUAGAAUGAUCUAGAUAUUCGCAAGAACAGCAGUGCGAAGGCGNCUACUGCNNCUGACGCUGAGGUCNNACGUGGGGAGCAAACAGGAUUAGAUACCCUNGUAGUCCACGCCGUAAACGAUGGAUGCUAGCCGUUGGGCACUUGCUGUUCAGUGGCGCACUAACGCUUUAAGCAUCCGCCUGGGGAGUACGGUCGCAAGAUUAAAACACNAGGGAAUGGACUGGGGCGGCGUGCAGCNGUGCAGCUGUNGUNNNAUMCGANNNCCGCGCAGAACCUUACCAGCUUUUGACAUUCUAGUAUGGUCGACAGAGAUGUCUUCCUUCCGCAAGGGGCUAGAACACAGGURCUGCAUNGCUNCGUCAGCHCGUAUCGUGAGAUGUUGGGUUAAGUCCNCAACGAGCGCAACCUCACCCUUAGUUGCCAUCAUUCAGUUGGGCACUCUAGGNNAACUGCGGUGAUAAGCCGAGAGGAAGGUGGGGAUGACGUCAAGUCCUCAUGGCGCUUACAGGCUGGGCUACACACGUGCUACAAUGGCGGUGACAAUGGGAUGCGAAGGGGCGACCCGGAGCAAAUCUCCAAAAAGCGUCUCAGUUCGGAUUGCACUCUGCAACUCGAGUGCAUGAAGGUGGAAUCGCUAGUAAUCGCAGAUCAGCACGCUGCGGUGAAUACGUUC
Molecule: ribosomal RNA, 1306 nt
Filed under: Methylosporovibrio methanica
Lineage: Bacteria; Pseudomonadati; Pseudomonadota; Alphaproteobacteria; Hyphomicrobiales; Methylocystaceae
Rfam family: Bacterial small subunit ribosomal RNA
Source: RNAcentral